Molecule: non-coding RNA, 478 nt
Organism: Cinara cedri
Lineage: Eukaryota; Metazoa; Arthropoda; Insecta; Hemiptera; Aphididae
Source: the annotation of a GenBank genome assembly
CGGUCGCGGGGUUUAUCCGUAUUUGCGGCUGUUGCCGUUGAGCCCGGUCCACACCACUAGGGCCAUGGAUACAAGAAGAACAUUUCGACUCGAAGCAUGUGGACACGACCAAGGUUCCUACAUACGUGUCCAGAAGUUACUAAAUGUUUCGUCAACAAUCCGUUGCAAGCGGCAGACAUUUCCCAUUGUUUCGUGUUUCGAUCGAAAACGAAACGUGUCGCUUCCGUUGUGUAAACAUACUUCGACCCGAAAUGUCGUUACAUGUCGCCCGAGUGUGGACAGGGCUUUAGGUACGAUUACGACGAUGGUGUUAGUCAAUGUCGCGAGACCGUACAAACGCGCGGGACGGACCGCGUGCGACGAUUCGCCGACGCGAAAUAAAAUGUUAUUGGACGAUGAUAAAUUUUGCUUAUCACUUUAUCAGCGAACGCAUAUAACGCGCAUCUAUGGCGGCCGAACGUCGUGCCCCAGCAUAGAU